AGUGAACGCUGGCGGUAGGCCUAACACAUGCAAGUCGAACGGCAGCACAGUAAGAGCUUGCUCUUACGGGUGGCGAGUGGCGGACGGGUGAGGAAUACAUCGGAAUCUACUUUUUCGUGGGGGAUAACGUAGGGAAACUUACGCUAAUACCGCAUACGACCUCCGGGUGAAAGCAGGGGAUCUUCGGACCUUGCGCGAUUGAAUGAGCCGAUGUCGGAUUAGCUAGUUGGCGGGGUAAAGGCCCACCAAGGCGACGAUCCCUAGCUGGUGUGAGAGGAUGAUCAGCGACACUGGAACUGAGACACGGUCCAGACUCCUACGGGAGGCAGCAGUGGGGAAUAUUGGACAAUGGGCGCAAGCCUGAUCCAGCCAUGCCGCGUGGGUGAAGAAGGCCUUCGGGUUGUAAAGCCCUUUUGUUGGGAAAGAAAAGCAGCAGGUUAAUACCCCGCUGUUCUGACGGUACCCAAAGAAUAAGCACCGGCUAACUUCGUG
RNAcentral lists this ribosomal RNA (492 nucleotides) under uncultured bacterium. RNAcentral describes it as "partial 16S ribosomal RNA". It matches the Rfam family "Bacterial small subunit ribosomal RNA", at positions 29 to 507 of the family's 1533-position model. The record is from RNAcentral.